GAGUUUGAUCCUGGCUCAGGAUGAACGCUGGCGGCGUGCCUAAUACAUGCAAGUCGAACGAGGACCCCUGAAAUCACUUCGGUGGUGGACGGGAAUUCCUAGUGGCGGACGGGUGCGUAACACGUUGGUGACCUACCCCGAAGUGGGGAAUAACGUUUCGAAAGGAACGCUAAUACCGCAUGUGGUCGUGAGGAUUAGAAGCCUCGCGCACUAAAGAUUUAUCGCUUCGGGAGGGGCCUGCGGCCCAUCAGCUUGUUGGUGUGGUAAUGGCUCACCAAGGCGAUGACGGGUAGGGGACCUGAGAGGGUGAUCCCCCACACUGGAACUGAAACACGGUCCAGACACCUGCGGGUGGCAGCAGUAGGGAAUAUUGCACAAUGGGCGCAAGCCUGAUGCAGCAACGCCGCGUGCGCGAUGAAGGCCUUCGGGUCGUAAAGCGCUUUUCUGAGGGAUGAGAAAGGACAGUACCUCAGGAAUCAGUCACGGCUAACUACGUGCCAGCAGCCGCGGUAAAACGUGGGUGGCAAGCGUUAUCCGGAUUUACUGGGCGUAAAGCGCGUGUAGGCGGUUCGGUUAGUCGGGCAUGAAAGCUCCUGGCUCAACUAGGAGAGGCUGUCCGAUACUACCGGACUUGAGGACGAGAGAGGGAGGUGGAAUUCCCGGUGUAGUGGUGAAAUGCGUAGAUAUCGGGAGGAACACCAGUGGCGAAGGCGGCCUCCUGGCUCGUUUCUGACGCUCAGACGCGAAAGCAUGGGUAGCGAACGGGAUUAGAAACCCCGGUAGUCCAUGCUGUAAACGAUGCCCACUAGGUGUAGGAGGUAUUGACCCCUUCUGUGCCGAAGCUAACGCGAUAAGUGGACCGCCUGGGGACUACGAUCGCAAGAUUAAAACUCAAAGGAAUUGACGGGGACCCGCACAAGCAGCGGAGCGUGUGGUUUAAUUCGAGGCUACGCGAAGAACCUUACCAGGGUUUGACAUGCAGGUAGUAGGAAAGCGAAAGCGGACCGACCCUUCGGGGAGCUUGCACAGGUGAUGCAUGGCUGUCGUCAGCUCGUGCCGUGAGGUGUUCGGUUAAGUCCGGUAACGAGCGCAACCCCUGUUGUGUGUUAUACGUGUCACACGAGACUGCCGGUUUCAUGCCGGAGGAAGGAGGGGAUGACGUCAAGUCAGCAUGUCCUUUAUAUCCUGGGCUACACACACGCUACAAUGGCCGGGACAAUGGGUCGCCAAGCCGCGAGGCGGAGCCAAUCCUCCAAACCCGGUCUCAGUUCGGAUUGCAGGCUGCAACUCGCCUGCAUGAAGUCGGAGUUGCUAGUAAACGCGCGUCAGCAACAGUGCGUUGAAUACGUUCCCGGGUCUUGUACACACCGCCCGUCACGUCAUGGAAGCUGGCAACACCUGAAGCCGGUGGCCUAACCCUAACGGGAGGGAGCCGUCCAAGGUGGGGUUGGUGACUGGGACGAAGUCGUAACAAGGUAACC
RNAcentral lists this ribosomal RNA (1481 nucleotides) under uncultured bacterium. RNAcentral's name for it is "bacterial SSU rRNA". It matches the Rfam family "Bacterial small subunit ribosomal RNA". The record is from RNAcentral.